This 30-nucleotide non-coding RNA is filed under the name Rattus norvegicus (Norway rat). Lineage: Eukaryota; Metazoa; Chordata; Mammalia; Rodentia; Muridae. The record is from RNAcentral.
UGGGCUAGAGUUCCCUAUAUACUUGUAAGG